RNAcentral lists this unclassified non-coding RNA (229 nucleotides) under plant metagenome. RNAcentral's name for it is "partial contains small subunit ribosomal RNA, internal transcribed spacer 1, and 5.8S ribosomal RNA". The record is from RNAcentral.
UCUCCGUAGGUGAACCUGCGGAGGGAUCAUUACAGAGUUCAUGCCCUACCGGGUAGAUCUCCCACCCUAUGUUAUUAUUACUUUGUUGCUUUGGCGGGCCGUUAGGCUCCGGCCCGACUACCGGCCCCGGCUGGUAAGCGCCCGCCAGAGGACCCAAAACCCUGUAUAUUAGUGUCGUCUGAGUACUAUAUAAUAGUUAAAACUUUCAACAACGGAUCUCUUGGUUCUG